UAGGACGGAGGAGGAUUUGUGGUCUGUGGGGACAUAUAUACACCCUAUAUGAGAAAAAAAUUAGUAAUUCAACAAAAAGUCAAAAAUUCUUGAAAAUAUUUUUCAAAUAAACUUGACCUUUUGCUGUACCCGUGAGAAAAAAUCCACACAAAAAAAUAUCCCUUUGACUUCUUUUCGAAAAAGACAAAUUUUUAGCUAAAAUAGUGUGAAUAGUGACCUAUAAUAGCAAAUAAAUUUUGUCUUUUUUGCUGUGAUGUCAAUUUUUGUUUUUUUUGUGUAAGUGUAUAUACCAGUGCAAAAGUAAGUCAAGUGUUUUGUCAAAAUAGUUCUUACCUAUUUUGACUUUUUUUAAAAAAUAUUUAAAAAAAAUCCCAUAUAGGGUGCAAAUACAACCAGGAACCAUUGGGUAUUUCCCUAGCUAGGACUUGCAACAUAACCGAUUCGGGACGGAACUACUGAUCCUACUUGGUGAUGGAUUCCUGCACGAGCCGGACAUGAGACGUGCUUUUUUUCUUGAGGGAAACGCCGCCGCAGCCGCCGCCAGCGAGUAACCCUAGGACAGGGCGCUAGGAUCCCCAGAGCAGGGUGGGCAGCAAGGAGUGGCGCAAGGAGGCCGUGUCGGUCGUUCCCGCCACCAGCGCUAAACCCCAGGUAUUUAUGUUCCGUGUCCUCCCCGCACUCUACGCUGAUACAUCAGCGAGGAGCUGACGGUGGAAAUGCUACUCCUCCCCAAACUCUAUGAUGCUUGAUUCGAUCUCGUGGUGUGGAACCAUUAAGGCGGGCAAGGCUAUUGAGUUUGCUCCUAACGCCGGCUUGGGCGAUGGGUGGGACGAAUGCGAGCAGCGGCCAACGGCGGACAUGGACUCAAGCCAGCACAGGUCCACGGCGGAGGAGCGCACCUGCUGGUCUUCACUUGGUAGGCGGCAGCAAUUUCCGCAUCAAGGUAUGUGCUCUUUUUUACAUUCUUGUCAUGUAUGAUUGAGAAUCGUUGUAUUAGCUCAUGGGCGCCUGUACCAGCAGUCCACAUUUGAUUCGCGGUCAGCUUGGGUGUUGUGGAGCACAGGGAAGGAGGAGAAGGAGGGCAGGUGUUUACAAUUCGGUGCCAAGGGAGAUAAUCGAGAUGGUGGCGCAGAAUUAGAGAAUGCCAGGUGACCAAGAGACACCACCCAACGGCCAUCGAUGCAGUGAGGAGUGUGGUGUUCUACAGUAUGGUAAUUGAGUUUUUGGUCCUAUAAUAUCGGAGAGUGUGUGUGUGAGUGUGUGUGUGUGUGUCCGAGAGAGAGAN
RNAcentral lists this long non-coding RNA (1285 nucleotides) under Triticum aestivum (bread wheat). RNAcentral's name for it is "long non-coding RNA (TAES_LNC026974)". Lineage: Eukaryota; Viridiplantae; Streptophyta; Magnoliopsida; Poales; Poaceae. The record is from RNAcentral.